UACAGAGGUCUCAAGCGUUGUUCGGAUUCAUUGGGCGUAAAGGGUGUGUAGGUGGCGCGCUAAGUCGGGUGUGAAAUUUCGGAGCUUAACUCCGAAACUGCAUUCGAUACUGGAUGGCUUGAGGUUGGGAGAGGGAUGCGGAAUUCCAGGUGUAGCGGUGAAAUGCGCAGAUAUCAGGAAGAACACCCGUGGCUAAGGCG
This 200-nucleotide ribosomal RNA is filed under the name uncultured prokaryote. Its description in RNAcentral is "partial 16S ribosomal RNA". It matches the Rfam family "Bacterial small subunit ribosomal RNA", at positions 524 to 723 of the family's 1533-position model. The record is from RNAcentral.